UGCGUAGGUGGCGUGGUAAGUCAGAUGUGAAAGCCCGGGGCUCAACCUCGGAAUUGCAUCCGAUACUACCAUGCUAGAGUACUGAAGAGGUGACUAGAAUUCUCGGUGUAGCAGUGAAAUGCGUAGAUAUCGAGAGGAAUACCAACGGCGAAGGCAGGUCACUGGGCAGUUACUGACACUGAGGCACGAAGGCCAGGGGAGCAAACG
Molecule: ribosomal RNA, 207 nt
Filed under: uncultured bacterium
Lineage: Bacteria
Description: partial 16S ribosomal RNA
Rfam family: Bacterial small subunit ribosomal RNA
Source: RNAcentral